GAUGAACGCUGGCGGCGUGCCUAAUACAUGCAAGUCGAGCGAACGGACGAGAAGCUUGCUUCUCUGAUGUUAGCGGCGGACGGGUGAGUAACACGUGGAUAACCUACCUAUAAGACUGGGAUAACUUCGGGAAACCGUAGCUAAUACCGGAUAAUAUUUUGAACCGCAUGGUUCAAAAGUGAAAGACGGUCUUGCUGUCACUUAUAGAUGGAUCCGCGCUGCAUUAGCUAGUUGGUAAGGUAACGGCUUACCAAGGCAACGAUGCAUAGCCGACCUGAGAGGGGGAUCGGCCACACGGGAACGGAGACACGGUCCAGACUCCUACGGGAGGCAGCAGUAGGGAAUCUUCCGCAAUGGGCGAAAGCCUGACGGAGCAACGCCGCGUGAGUGAUGAAGGUCUUCGGAUCGUAAAACUCUGUUAUUAGGGAAGAACAUAUGUGUAAGUAACUGUGCACAUCUUGACGGUACCUAAUCAGAAAGCCACGGCUAACUACGUG
RNAcentral lists this ribosomal RNA (497 nucleotides) under uncultured bacterium. RNAcentral describes it as "partial 16S ribosomal RNA". It matches the Rfam family "Bacterial small subunit ribosomal RNA", at positions 28 to 507 of the family's 1533-position model. The record is from RNAcentral.